ACCAGGACUUUUACUUUGAGAAAAUUAGAGUGUUCAAAGCAGGCCUUUGCCCGAAUACAUUAGCAUGGAAUAAUAGAAUAGGACGCGCGUUCCCAUUUUGUUGGUUUCUGAGAUCGCCGUAAUGAUUAAUAGGGAUAGUUGGGGGCAUUUGUAUUCCGUCGUCAGAGGUGAAAUUCUUGGAUUGCCGGAAGACAAACUACUGCGAAAGCAUUUGCCA
This 217-nucleotide ribosomal RNA is filed under the name Stephanopyxis turris. Its description in RNAcentral is "partial Eukaryotic small subunit ribosomal RNA". It matches the Rfam family "Eukaryotic small subunit ribosomal RNA", at positions 742 to 960 of the family's 1831-position model. The record is from RNAcentral. Lineage: Eukaryota; Bacillariophyta; Melosirophyceae; Stephanopyxales; Stephanopyxidaceae.